RNAcentral lists this ribosomal RNA (249 nucleotides) under uncultured Actinomycetales bacterium. RNAcentral's name for it is "partial 16S ribosomal RNA". It matches the Rfam family "Bacterial small subunit ribosomal RNA", at positions 82 to 334 of the family's 1533-position model. The record is from RNAcentral. Lineage: Bacteria; Bacillati; Actinomycetota; Actinomycetes; Actinomycetales.
CUUGGGUACUCGAGUGGCGAACGGGUGAGUAACACGUGGGUGAUCUGCCUUGCACUCUGGGAUAAGCUUGGGAAACUGGGUCUAAUACCGGAUAGGAACCGUCUUUAGUGUGGUGGUUGGAAAGUUUUUUCGGUGCAAGAUGAGCUCGCGGCCUAUCAGCUUGUUGGUGGGGUAAUGGCCUACCAAGGCGUCGACGGGUAGCCGGCCUGAGAGGGUGUACGGCCACAUUGGGACUGAGAUACGGCCCAG